RNAcentral lists this ribosomal RNA (253 nucleotides) under uncultured bacterium. RNAcentral describes it as "partial 16S ribosomal RNA". It matches the Rfam family "Bacterial small subunit ribosomal RNA", at positions 524 to 776 of the family's 1533-position model. The record is from RNAcentral.
UACGUAGGGGGCAAGCGUUGUCCGGAAUUAUUGGGCGUAAAGAGCGUGUAGGCGGUCCGGUAAGUCAGCUGUGAAAGUCAAGGGCUCAACCCUUGAAAGCCGGUUGAUACUGUCGGGCUAGAGUCCGGAAGAGGCGAGUGGAAUUCCCGGUGUAGCGGUGAAAUGCGCAGAUAUCGGGAGGAACACCAAUGGCGAAGGCAGCUCGCUGGGACGGUACUGACGCUGAGACGCGAAAGCGUGGGGAGCAAACCGG